UACGUAGGAGGCAAGCGUUGUCCGGAAUUACUGGGUGUAAAGCGCGUGUAGGUGGGAGGCCAAGUCUGUGGUGAAAGCGCCCGGCUCAACUGGGCAGAGUCCAUGGAAACUGGUCACCUGGAGGACGGUAGAGGCGAGUGGAAUUCCCGGUGUAGUGGUGAAAUGCGUAGAGAUCCGGAAGAACACCGGUGGCGAAGGCGGCCUGCUGGGCAGUUUUGCUGACACUGAGGCGCGACAGCGUGGGGAGCAAACAGG
Molecule: ribosomal RNA, 255 nt
Filed under: uncultured bacterium
Lineage: Bacteria
Description: partial 16S ribosomal RNA
Rfam family: Bacterial small subunit ribosomal RNA
Source: RNAcentral